CCACGUGAGCGUCGCCUUUCUUUCCUCCCCAUUUUUCUCUCUCUGGCGUCACUCAUGUGUCAGACUGUCAGGCGCACUCCGCCUCUCCUCUCUCCGUCGCUGGGCAGCUGGGCUUCUCUCCCGACUCCCGAGCAGCCGAGCUCCCCCUGCUCGGCCUCGCCUCCGCCGCGAACCGCGCCUCCGGCUCCGCCUGCUCGGGCGGGCGGCACCCAGCUCCCUGCAUCUUCGCUGCGGCGAGGGUACACGAUGGAGGGAGCUGGAAGAGAUGCCAACCCUUUGGGCGGUUACCGAAUUGGCAAAACCCUAGGAAUCGGGUCGUUCGGUAAAGUGAAGAUCGCGGAACAUAUAUUGACUGGCCAUAAGGUGGCAAUCAAGAUCCUCAAUCGCCGUAAGAUCAGAAGCAUGGAAAUGGAAGAGAAAGUGAAGAGAGAAAUCAAGAUACUGAGAUUAUUUAUGCAUCCUCAUAUCAUACGCCUUUAUGAGGUGAUAGAUACACCUGCUGAUAUUUAUGUUGUUAUGGAGUAUGUUAAAUCUGGAGAGUUGUUUGAUUACAUUGUUGAGAAGGGAAGACUACAUGAAGAAGAAGCCCGGCGCUUUUUUCAGCAGAUCAUAUCUGGUGUUGAAUAUUGCCAUAGGAACAUGGUUGCUCACCGUGAUUUAAAGCCAGAGAAUCUUCUUUUGGAUUCGAAAUGCAACAUUAAGAUUGCUGAUUUUGGCUUAAGUAAUGUUAUGCGUGAUGGUCACUUUCUUAAGACGAGUUGUGGUAGCCCGAAUUAUGCAGCACCUGAGGUCAUAUCUGGUAAACUAUAUGCUGGUCCUGAAGUUGAUGUCUGGAGCUGCGGCGUUAUUCUUUAUGCUCUUCUUUGUGGCACUCUUCCAUUUGACGAUGAGAAUAUUCCAAACCUUUUUAAGAAAAUAAAGGGUGGAAUAUAUACCCUUCCUAGUCAUUUGUCACCUUCAGCGAGGGACUUGAUUCCUAGAAUGCUGGUUGUUGAUCCGAUGAAAAGGAUUACAAUACGUGAAAUCCGUGAACAUAUGUGGUUCAAAAUUCAACUUCCGCGCUAUUUGGCUGUACCGCCUCCAGACACUGCCCAACAAGUUAAGAAGCUGGACGAGGAAACCCUUAAUGAUGUUAUUAAGAUGGGUUUUGACAAGAAUCAGCUAAUUGAAUCUCUGCACAACAGAUUGCAGAAUGAGGCAACAGUUGCCUAUUAUUUACUCAUGGACAAUAGGCUUCGUACAACCAGUGGUUAUCUUGGAUCUGAGUUUCAAGAAUCUAUGGACCCAUCUUUCUCUCAAGUACAUGCUGAAACACCAACUUCAGCAACUGAACAUCGGCAGCAUGUGUUUACAGAAUCUCCGGGGUCUGGUUUGAGGCAGCAUUUUGCAUCUGAAAGGAAAUGGGCCCUUGGUCUUCAGUCUCGAGCACAUCCACGAGAAAUAAUAAGUGAAGUGCUUAAAGCACUGCAAGAACUGAAUGUUUACUGGAAAAAGAUUGGACACUACAACAUGAAAUGCAGAUGGAGUCCUGGCUGCCUUGAGAGUAUGAUGCAUAACUGUGAUGGCUUUAGUGCAGAGUCUGCUAUAAUUGAAACUGAUGAUCUCAUAGCGAAAUCAACCCGUAUAGUGAAGUUUGAGAUUCAGCUUUACAAAACGAGGGAUGAGAAGUACCUUCUUGACCUGCAAAGGGUCAGUGGACCACAACUCCUCUUUCUGGACUUGUGUUCCGCCUUUCUAACGCAGCUGAGAGUUCUUUGAGCCUGAUGACAUGAUUGGCUUCCCAAGCACAAUCCUUGAUGCACCCCAUGGACUUUCAAAUUACAUUCGUGCUGUACAUAAUGGCCAUAUAUAAUCCUCCGGUAGAUUAUAUUUUCUGGAGCAUGUGGACCGUACAGGUAUUGUAAGAUGCAUCUCCAGAGGAUUUAUGAGAAAGGGCACACGUGCAAGCACAACAACGGAAGAGAUUAGGGCAGCAAAUAACUGAAUCUGUGCUCUAGCUCAACAGCACGAGGACAUACGUAAUGUACAUGGGUCAGCAUAUGAUUUUACUUUUUACAGUAGGAAAUGCUAGAAAAGACUUAGCUAGCCUAAACUAUAAUGUACAGCGGCAACACCGAUGGUGUGGUAUCAGUAAUUCUCGGGUGCAUAAGAAGCUGAAUCAAGCUGCCCCAUCUGCUCAGUGAUCUGAUCAACAUUGUCCUGGAGACGAGGACAGCAGCGGUCUACGGCAGUCUUCACAUCCUCUUUUGCUUCUAUUGCCUCGCUUUUACCCUCGGCGGCGUCUGUGAGAAACCGCUCCCAGAAUACAUCGUUCACUUUGGCCGGCACAUGGGAACCUCCAGUUUCACUGGUGGUAUCAUCUUGCGAGGUGUCGCCGGUUGUGGUGUCAGAGUUCAUAUCGACUCCAGCAGCUGUCCUAUGGGCAUGUUCAUGGAGCUGUGCCAUCGGCAGCAUCGGGCUCUGGGCGUAGUAGCUCGGGGGUUCUGCCAACGGAGAAGACGACUGGUCUUGCCCUGAGGUCGAAGCGAAGGGGUUCUGGCAAGCUGAUGGCUGCAGAUCGAUCUCGGUAUCCAUUGGUGCCGAGAGCAUCUCGCCUAGAGCCAGAGCAGGGCUGGGUUCAGCAACACCAGCGGCGUACAACAUGCCUUGAGCAGCAGACGUAUGCGCUGUUGCCCUCUGCAAGAAACUCUCCAGCGACACCAGGGCCAGCUCCAUCUUCUCAAACGGCUCGGCGCUCAGAAGGCGGAUCGGAGACAUGCCUGGCGUCUCCGCGCCCACCGUCUGCAGGAACGGCACCUGCUGUUCUUCGACCUUGGGUUCGUCGACGAAGAAGUCCAUCUUCGGAACCCUCCUCUUCUUGCUGAAGUGGUCCGCCCCCGUCGCCGACCCCCACGAAACGACCCCGUGUCCGACCGGCAGCAGGAUGUCGCGCAGGGAGGCCACGAUGUUCCUCUGGCGCUCCUCCAUCUGCGCCAGCCUGCGUUCCAGCGACUGCAUCUGCCAGCUGAUCCCGCACCGCUGCUGGCUCUGCCUCUGGAGGUCCGUCAGGAGCAGGCUCUUCUCGUACUUGAGCCUGCUGAUCUCGUCCUCGAGCUCGCGCCUCUCCGACUCCGCCAGUGGGCCGUUCACCUGGGUCUGCGGCGAGUGGCUGUGCACCGGCUUGCGCCGGUGGAUGUUCUUCAGGAGGUGCGUGUGCCCCCUAACGAAGUCGUCGUUGGCGAACUCCCAUCUCUCGGGAUCGAUCUUUCGGAAACCCUGGAAGUGAAGAACCAAGUUAGCAGCAGGCGGAAAGUGAGGACAGACAUGAGGAGUGAGGACCAGCUGUUAAAAACAGCCGCCACUUUUAAAACAUGGGCUUCCUACUAUACAGAAUAGGAACAGAGCAGAGAGCACACAGAAUCCCGUGCAAAAAAAAUCAAGAACCAACUUUGAAUUGAAUGCCCGUAAUGCUCCUGUUGCUAUUUGGGUUAUGAGACAAAUACGUCUCUCUUCAUGAAUAGACGACUCCACGAUCAGGUGCGCUGGUGCCAACUGAACAUGCGAAAAAUGCCGAGGAAAAAGGCACAUCGUCUUGAGGAAGAUAGCAGACAGGAAAUGGCAAGAAAUAGACGCGCAACAGCAACAUGUCACACGCACACAGAGAGAGAGAUUGAGAGAGGGAGAUUUAGAGGCACUCACGUAUGUGUUGAGCUGCCUGAUGAAGCUGGAGAAGUUGUUGUGCUUGAAGUACUUGGGCAGCAGGUCCCGUGAGAAGUCCGGCGGGUUCCACACCACGAAGCUUGCGCCGCCGGGGCCCCACGACACGACGUGGUUGGUCGCCGGGUCCUCCACCAUCUCGUAGGUCUUGAUGAGGAACGGCGGCGGCUGCGAGCUGGAAUUGGAACCCUCCAUGCCGGCCAUGCACCUCCUCCUGUCUCUCCUCCGACUGAUGAUGGGCGAAGAAUUAACUAACCGACGCUCCCCCAACUCUGUCUUACCCACCGGAAUGGCUCGCACUCAACCGCAGCGAGAAAAAUUCUCGCCAAGCUGCCGCAAGGACGA
Zea mays is the source of this 4041-nucleotide RNA transcript. RefSeq lists it as uncharacterized. The record is from RefSeq and is marked provisional. The transcript has 12 exons. NCBI's taxonomy places the organism in Eukaryota, Viridiplantae, Streptophyta, Magnoliopsida, Poales, Poaceae.